Molecule: ribosomal RNA, 419 nt
Filed under: Metschnikowia sp. (in: budding yeasts & allies)
Lineage: Eukaryota; Fungi; Ascomycota; Pichiomycetes; Serinales; Metschnikowiaceae
Description: LSU rRNA
Rfam family: Eukaryotic large subunit ribosomal RNA
Source: RNAcentral
AAUUUGAAGGCUGUAAGGUGGUGGCUCGGCCCUGUGCAAGUCCAUUGGAACAUGGCGCCAAGGAGGGUGACAGCCCCGUGGCACUAGGUCAACCACCAUAUACUUUACGGCCAAAGAGUCGAGUUGUUUGGGAAUGCAGCUCUAAGUGGGUGGUAAAUUCCAUCUAAAGCUAAAUAUUGGCGAGAGACCGAUAGCGAACAAGUACAGUGAUGGAAAGAUGAAAAGCACUUUGAAAAGAGAGUGAAACAGUACGUGAAAUUGUUGGAAGGGAAGGGCUUGCAAGCAGACACAACUUUUGUUGGGCCAGCAUCGGGGCGGAGGAGAGCAAAACAGGCGGUGAAUGUGGCGCCAGUCCUUUGGGCUGGCGUGUUUAUAGCGCCGCCAAAUACUCUCAUUCUGCCCCGAGGCCAGCGCAUUCG